RNAcentral lists this ribosomal RNA (253 nucleotides) under uncultured bacterium. Its description in RNAcentral is "partial 16S ribosomal RNA". It matches the Rfam family "Bacterial small subunit ribosomal RNA", at positions 524 to 776 of the family's 1533-position model. The record is from RNAcentral.
UACAGAGGUCUCAAGCGUUGUUCGGAUUCAUUGGGCGUAAAGGGUGCGUAGGCGGCGCGGUAAGUCGGGUGUGAAAUCUCGGAGCUUAACUCCGAAACUGCAUUCGAUACUGCCGUGCUUGAGGACUGGAGAGGAGACUGGAAUUUAUGGUGUAGCAGUGAAAUGCGUAGAUAUCGUAAGGAAGACCAGUGGCGAAGGCGAGUCUCUGGACAGUUACCGACGCUGAGGCACGAAGGUCAGGGGAGCAAACGGG